AGAAAGGAAAGAAGAGAAGCAGUCCCAUUCAGUUGCGAACCAUAAGGACGGUUUCCUAGUGAUCGGAAGGAACAUUUUGCAAGCACCGCAAAUAGCUCUCUGACUGGACGUGCGUAGCCAUUGGGGGUCCUUCCCCGGGGUCGCUUUCUGUCUAUGAAAACAAUAUCGAUUUCUUGAUUUUCGUGUCAACAGGGUGCUUUGUCUCGGUGACCUCCAAAUGGAAAGUAAUAGGUCCAGAAAACUGCAGCUGCCUCUAAGGACUCUCACCUGCCAUUGAUUUCCUCUCAAGCCCAAUAACACCAUUUCCUCCCAUCCUGUUGCCUACUGCCAGCCACCCAGAUGGCAAGGGCACCUUGGGAGAAGUUACAGGUGGCUUCAUGCUUUCUGUGCUGUUCCGUUCAAAAGCAGGUGGCUUGAGAAUCCUGGGGUCUUAAUGCUCUGCAGAACAUGGACAGAUGAGAUAGAUCCUUCUCUGGCCAUAGGCUCUCACUCCACUAAGUGCACACAUGAUAGGAAGUUGGACAGACAGACGGAUGGCAGCAGCCCCAUCGCUGUGGUCAUGAUGCACUAACUUCCUGUUCUGACCCUGCAGGCCCAGCUUCUGUGGGCCACAGCCAUCUUCUGCACGGGACCUCUCGACCUGACAUUCACGCCCUUUCACCCGCCUAACUGUUCUUCUUUCUUCCCCACAACUAUACGACAGCUGUUGUAUCAGGUACACAACAGCUAUAGAAAGGAUGUGGCGUUCACACACCAAUUCCUUACUGGAUUCUGAUUC
This 778-nucleotide long non-coding RNA is filed under the name Rattus norvegicus (Norway rat). RNAcentral describes it as "long non-coding RNA NONRATT008530". The record is from RNAcentral. Lineage: Eukaryota; Metazoa; Chordata; Mammalia; Rodentia; Muridae.